UACAGAGGGUGCAAGCGUUGUUCGGAAUUACUGGGCGUAAAGGGCGCGUAGGCGGCUUGGCAAGUCAGACGUGAAAUCCCGGGGCUUAACUCCGGAAGUGCGUUUGAAACUGCCUCGCUAGAGUACAGUAGAGGUUGGUGGAAUACCUAGUGUAGAGGUGAAAUUCGUAGAUAUUAGGUGGAACACCGGUGGCGAAGGCGGCCAACUGGGCUGUAACUGACGCUGAGGCGCGAAAGCGUGGGGAUCAAACAGG
This 253-nucleotide ribosomal RNA is filed under the name uncultured bacterium. Its description in RNAcentral is "partial 16S ribosomal RNA". It matches the Rfam family "Bacterial small subunit ribosomal RNA", at positions 524 to 776 of the family's 1533-position model. The record is from RNAcentral.